ACGGGUGCGUAACGCGUGGGAAUCUGCCCUUGGGUUCGGAAUAACAGUUAGAAAUGACUGCUAAUACCGGAUGAUGUCUUCGGACCAAAGAUUUAUCGCCCAAGGAUGAGCCCGCGUAAGAUUAGCUAGUUGGUGGGGUAAUGGCCCACCAAGGCGACGAUCUUUAGCUGGUCUGAGAGGAUGAUCAGCCACACUGGGACUGAGACACGGCCCAGACUCCUACGGGAGGCAGCAGUGGGGAAUAUUGGACAAUGGGCGAAAGCCUGAUCCAGCAAUGCCGCGUGAGUGAUGAAGGCCUUAGGGUUGUAAAGCUCUUUUACCAGGGAUGAUAAUGACAGUACCUGGAGAAUAAGCUCCGGCUAACUCCGUGCCAGCAGCCGCGGUAAUACGGAGGGAGCUAGCGUUGUUCGGAAUUACUGGGCGUAAAGCGUACGUAGGCGGUUAUUCAAGUCAGAGGUGAAAGCCCGGGGCUCAACCCCGGAACGGCCUUUGAAACUAGGUAGCUAGAGUCUUGGAGAGGUUAGUGGAAUUCCGAGU
RNAcentral lists this ribosomal RNA (537 nucleotides) under uncultured bacterium. Its description in RNAcentral is "bacterial SSU rRNA". It matches the Rfam family "Bacterial small subunit ribosomal RNA", at positions 102 to 674 of the family's 1533-position model. The record is from RNAcentral.